This 77-nucleotide transfer RNA is filed under the name Lachnospiraceae bacterium. Its description in RNAcentral is "tRNA-Arg". It matches the Rfam family "tRNA". From Rfam's summary of the family: Transfer RNA (tRNA) molecules are approximately 80 nucleotides in length. Their secondary structure includes four short double-helical elements and three loops (D, anti-codon, and T loops). RNAcentral also lists the same sequence under 1 other name. Lineage: Bacteria; Bacillati; Bacillota; Clostridia; Lachnospirales; Lachnospiraceae. The record is from RNAcentral.
GCGCUUGUAGCUCAGUGGAUAGAGCACCGGCCUCCGACGCCGGGUUGUCGUAGGUUCGAUUCCUAUCAAGCGUACCA